RNAcentral lists this small nuclear RNA (104 nucleotides) under Catagonus wagneri (Chacoan peccary). Lineage: Eukaryota; Metazoa; Chordata; Mammalia; Artiodactyla; Tayassuidae. The record is from RNAcentral.
AUGCUCGCUUCGGCAGCACAUAUACUAAAAUUGGAACGAUACAGAGAUUAGCAUGGCCCCUUCGCAAGGAUGACACGCAAAUUCGUGUUAUAUUUUAGAAAUAU